RNAcentral lists this ribosomal RNA (115 nucleotides) under Acanthosepion pharaonis. The record is from RNAcentral. Lineage: Eukaryota; Metazoa; Mollusca; Cephalopoda; Sepiida; Sepiidae.
UUACGGUCACAUCAUGCUGAAAACACUGGUUCCUGUACGAUCACGGAAGUUGAGCAACAUCGAGCCCUAGUCAGUAACUAGAUGGGUGACCGCUGAGGAAUACCAGGUACUGUAA